UACGUAGGUGGCAAGCGUUAUCCGGAUUUAUUGGGCGUAAAGGGAACGCAGGCGGUCUUUUAAGUCUGAUGUGAAAGCCUUCGGCUUAACCGGAGUAGUGCAUUGGAAACUGGGAGACUUGAGUGCAGAAGAGGAGAGUGGAACUCCAUGUGUAGCGGUGAAAUGCGUAGAUAUAUGGAAGAACACCAGUGGCGGAAGCGGCUCUCUGGUCUGUAACUGACGCUGAGGUUCAAAAGCGUGGGUGGCAAACAGG
RNAcentral lists this ribosomal RNA (253 nucleotides) under uncultured bacterium. RNAcentral's name for it is "partial 16S ribosomal RNA". It matches the Rfam family "Bacterial small subunit ribosomal RNA", at positions 524 to 776 of the family's 1533-position model. The record is from RNAcentral.